GUAUAUAUAUUCAGACGGUUAUUGCAUGUUAUCCUAACUUCCAAAUCUUUUCCAGUCGCGAAACGCAAGAAGACGAGCUCCCAAACUGCCUCUGCCAGCCCGGUGCUCCUUCUGAACGAGUUGGAUAUCGGCUGCGUAGUUGACGUGCCCCAAUGCGAUCAACCAAGCGACGUUGUUUCCCAGGAGCCCACCCAGCUGACCUUCGGUGCACCGGCUUCGCCUCGCACGGAAACGGAAGGUGCCGACCACUCGUACUCCAUGGGG
Molecule: long non-coding RNA, 264 nt
Filed under: Dermacentor andersoni
Lineage: Eukaryota; Metazoa; Arthropoda; Arachnida; Ixodida; Ixodidae
Description: uncharacterized LOC126519278
Source: RNAcentral